AAGUCGUAACAAGGUUUCCGUAGGUGAACCUGCGGAAGGAUCAUUAACACGUUAUCCACGUACCUACCUCUUGCGAACUUUUUACUGUUUAAGAGUCGGCAGACCAGCGUAGAUGAUGGAGGUAGAUGUUACUAUGUCCAGCGUGAGGCCCGCCGCCCGCCCUGGUUCUACCUGCCUAACUGACUUCCCUCCCCCCUCAUGUGCUGUGUGUAUUGGGGGGUGUGUGGGCGUGGUUGGAUAUUCUGGUUCAAAUGACUCGAAUCAUAGUAGUUUUUUGUAUUAACCCCUUUUUACAAAUUUGUUGAAUUGUGAUGGUCUGAAGGUAACACUUCAUACUCACGUUAAUAAAACACUAUACAACUCUUAGCAACGGAUAUCUCGGUUCU
RNAcentral lists this unclassified non-coding RNA (386 nucleotides) under fungal sp. Its description in RNAcentral is "partial internal transcribed spacer region". The stretch from base 1 to 46 matches the Rfam family "Eukaryotic small subunit ribosomal RNA", at positions 1786 to 1831 of the family's 1831-position model. Lineage: Eukaryota; Fungi. The record is from RNAcentral.